AAGUUAAUAGUUUAAUGUUUGAAUUCCGUUUUUGUAAUACGGGGGUGCUUUUAGGGAUGCUUCUUUUU
RNAcentral lists this transfer RNA (68 nucleotides) under Glypthelmins quieta. RNAcentral describes it as "tRNA-Thr". The record is from RNAcentral. Lineage: Eukaryota; Metazoa; Platyhelminthes; Trematoda; Plagiorchiida; Plagiorchiidae.